UGAUAUGUUUGAUAUUUUUGGUGG
RNAcentral lists this microRNA (24 nucleotides) under Nautilus pompilius. RNAcentral's name for it is "Npo-Mir-190_5p (mature (guide))". Lineage: Eukaryota; Metazoa; Mollusca; Cephalopoda; Nautilida; Nautilidae. The record is from RNAcentral.